This 91-nucleotide non-coding RNA is filed under the name Domibacillus iocasae. Its description in RNAcentral is "c-di-GMP sequence". It matches the Rfam family "c-di-GMP-I riboswitch aptamer". Rfam says of the family: GEMM was predicted in a large-scale screen for bacterial structured RNA regulatory elements. Genes associated with GEMM are involved in a diverse array of functions, including chemotaxis regulation, signal transduction, secretion and chitin. Lineage: Bacteria; Bacillati; Bacillota; Bacilli; Caryophanales; Bacillaceae. The record is from Rfam by way of RNAcentral.
AAUGAAAAAAGGUAAACCGAUCGAAAGGCCGGGACACAAAGCUCCAGAUCUAAGGUCUAUACUAAAAGACUAUGAUGGCUGAGCCGCUUCG